UACAGAGGUGGCAAGCGUUGUUCGGAAUUACUGGGCGUAAAGGGCGCGUAGGCGGUCUUGCAAGUCCCGUGUGAAAUCCCUCGGCUCAACUGAGGAACUGCACGGGAAACUGCUCGGCUUGAGUUCGGGAGAGGGAAGCGGAAUUCCGGGUGUAGCGGUGAAAUGCGUAGAUAUCCGGAGGAACACCGGUGGCGAAGGCGGCAUCCUGGACCGGCAUUGACGCUGAGGCGCGAAAGCCAGGGGAGCAAACGGG
This 253-nucleotide ribosomal RNA is filed under the name uncultured bacterium. RNAcentral's name for it is "partial 16S ribosomal RNA". It matches the Rfam family "Bacterial small subunit ribosomal RNA", at positions 524 to 776 of the family's 1533-position model. The record is from RNAcentral.